RNAcentral lists this ribosomal RNA (613 nucleotides) under uncultured bacterium. RNAcentral describes it as "bacterial SSU rRNA". The stretch from base 1 to 535 matches the Rfam family "Bacterial small subunit ribosomal RNA", at positions 338 to 873 of the family's 1533-position model. The record is from RNAcentral.
CCUACGGGAGGCAGCAGUAAGGAAUAUUGGUCAAUGGGCGCAAGCCUGAACCAGCCAUGCCGCGUGCAGGAAGACGGCCCUAUGGGUUGUAAACUGCUUUUGAACAAGAGAAAACCUCGGUACGUGUACCGAGCUGAUAGUAUUGUUAGAAUAAGCAUCGGCUAACUUCGUGCCAGCAGCCGCGGUAAGACGAAGGAUGCAAGCGUUAUCCGGAUUCAUUGGGUUUAAAGGGUGCGUAGGCGGCCUGAUAAGUCAGUGGUGAAAUCUCUCAGCUUAACUGAGAAACUGCCAUUGAUACUGUCGGGCUUGAGUACAGAUGAUGUGGGCGGAAUAUGACAUGUAGUGGUGAAAUACUUAGAUAUGUCAUAGAACACCGAUUGCGAAGGCAGCUCACAAAACUGUAACUGACGCUGAGGCACGAAAGUGCGGGGAUCAAACAGGAUUAGAUACCCUGGUAGUCCGCACCGUAAACGAUGAUUACUCGUUGUUGGCAAUAUGACCGUCAGCGACCAAGCGAAAGCGAUAAGAAUCCACCGNGGAGACGCCGGCGACGAGAACGUAAAGUAAGUAGACGGACGAGAGAGAGCGACGGACGACACGAGGGGAGGUUAGG